RNAcentral lists this transfer RNA (72 nucleotides) under Sphaerodactylus townsendi. RNAcentral's name for it is "tRNA-Ala". It matches the Rfam family "tRNA". From Rfam's summary of the family: Transfer RNA (tRNA) molecules are approximately 80 nucleotides in length. The record is from RNAcentral. Lineage: Eukaryota; Metazoa; Chordata; Lepidosauria; Squamata; Sphaerodactylidae.
GGAGUUGUGGCUCAGUGGUAGAGCAUCUGCUUGGCAUGCAGAAGGUCCCAGGUUCGAUCCCAGGCAUCUCCA